GGGGCGGUAGCUCAGCUGGGAGAGCGCUUGCAUGGCAUGCAAGAGGUCCGGGGUUCGAUCCCCCGUCGCUCCA
Molecule: transfer RNA, 73 nt
Filed under: Deltaproteobacteria bacterium
Lineage: Bacteria; Pseudomonadati; Myxococcota; Myxococcia
Description: tRNA-Ala
Rfam family: tRNA
About the family: Transfer RNA (tRNA) molecules are approximately 80 nucleotides in length. Their secondary structure includes four short double-helical elements and three loops (D, anti-codon, and T loops).
Source: RNAcentral